UUCUCUAUUUUUCUCCUUUUGAUUUUAUGUUUUUUGCACUGUUUGAUAUUUAUCUGUUUGGUUGCCUAGAGACGAUGGGAAGGCGAAAGCUUGAAACUUUAGAGUAGUUUUUUUUUUUCUGGGUAUGAAUAACAUAAGUAGGAUUUGUUCCGGCACUGUAAAGGUUGUGGCUCUGAAAUAUUGUUCUGUUUAUUUGGAAUCUAUGGGGCACUUGCAUAUUUUUCAUUUGCAAACCAAUUCCAAUGGGUUUUUGUUGAACAAUUCCAAUUAUUGAUUAAAUAAACGGAAUCACUUAUGAUAGAUUGAAUAACUUUUACCUUUGUUCUAGAAAAUGGUUGGUUUAGAAAAGGUUUAAAAUGAUGUCAGGUUAAUGGCUUAAUCCAAGCAUUAUGUUAAGUCACGGGGUGAGCGUUGGAAAACAGAUAAGAAAUCAAUCGUUUAUAGGCUCAUACAUUUAGGUAAUGUUGAAAGGAAAUAUCAUAAGCCUAAGAUAUAUAAUUUUUUUUUUCCUGACAUAAAACUUUAGUAGGUUGGGCUAGGUGAAGCUGUUGGUGAUGUCAAUUUUCAUUUUGUUUCGUGAUACAGGUUUUUAUUUCCACAAUCCCAAAUUGUUAAAUGUAGCAUUACUUCACAGACUAUUCUCUAGACAAUCCAUAUGAGACAAAUAGCCUUUCUUACUCUAGGAUUAGGUAUGCUUUCUCUUUUGAUCUUUUUUGAAAAUACUUGUUACACCAUUUUUUGCCUAAGAAAGUAACAUGCUUUCAGAAAUUUCCAGAAGUUUGAAAAUAUCUGGAUGCAUAAGUUAUCAGAAACUAAUUGGCAAUAUAAAAACAUGGGGAGGUGUGACAAGGGUUUUGUUUGUGGCCCUGGUUUGAGGCUUGGGGCAAUGGGUUUUGCUUGUGGCCCUGGUUUGAGGCUUGGGGCAAUGGGUUUUACUUUUAAUACUUAAA
Prunus avium (sweet cherry) is the source of this 950-nucleotide non-coding RNA. NCBI's taxonomy places the organism in Eukaryota, Viridiplantae, Streptophyta, Magnoliopsida, Rosales, Rosaceae. The record is from RefSeq and is a predicted model, not a curated record.